RNAcentral lists this ribosomal RNA (325 nucleotides) under uncultured bacterium. Its description in RNAcentral is "bacterial SSU rRNA". It matches the Rfam family "Bacterial small subunit ribosomal RNA", at positions 156 to 479 of the family's 1533-position model. The record is from RNAcentral.
ACGCCGACUAAUCCCCGAUGGGAUAUUGUGCCGCAUGGCACGAUAUUGAAAGUUACGGCGGCGACGGAUUGGCUCGCGUCCGAUUAGCUUGUUGGUGGGGUAACGGCCCACCAAGGCUACGAUCGGUAGGGGUUCUGAGAGGAAGGCCCCCCACAAUGGGACUGAGACACGGCCCAUACUCCUACGGGAGGCAGCAGUGAGGAAUAUUGGUCAAUGGGCGGAAGCCUGAACCAGCCAUGCCGCGUGCGGGAAGGAGGCCCUAUGGGCUGUGAACCGCUUUUGCCUGGGGGCAAUAAGGGCGUCGCGCACGCCCGAUGAGAGUACC